GUCGGUAAUGACGCCCGACGAUCGGUCGGUCGGUUGGUCGGUCGGUCGGGUAUGCCCGACUAUGAGUCGGUAUGAGCGGGGUCGGUCGGUAAUCCCCAACAGUUGCCCCCCUCCACUCCUUAGUCGAACGGUGCGCUGGCCGAUGUCUUCGUUUGGGCAGUAACGCCGGGCGAAAAGGAGUGGAUUCACUGUGUGCCAAGUUCCAACCGUACCGGGGGUCGAUAUGAUGUCUGGCGUCUCAUAAAUGCCGAGCGAUUCGCUGGCGUCAGAUGUCCAGUCGGUGUCAGAUGUCCCGUCCCGUCGGAAUCAGACGUCCUGUCGGCGCCAGGUGUCAUGUCAGCGUCGUACGACCUGCAGGUGUCGGAUGUCCCACCGGUGUCAGACGUCCUGUCGGUGUGGACUUUUUUUUGCAGGCACUCGUUCCCGACGACCAGGCGACGAGGGGAUUGGCCCCAACAGAUUGGCGCGCCAGGUAGGGGGACCUCCCUUAAUAGUCCACACCGACAGGACGUCUGACACCGGCGGGACAUCCGACACCUGCAGGACGUUGUGGCAGGCUGUGGGGAGACCUCUCUUAAUAGUCCCACAUCGGACAACUCUGAUGUGUGCAUGUGCUUAAGUAGUGCGGGCUCCUUCUUGCCCCGUGAGGCGCCUUUUGCCCAGAGGGGUUGAGAGGACAAAACCGUGACCUGUCGAUCGCGUGCGGCCCGUACGGGCGGCGCCGUCGGGGAAAGCGGACAAUACCUUGCGAGCGGUGGAGAGGAGAAGGUACCGUAACCUUAACACGUGUGCACAACAGUGGCGCGCCAGGAAGGGGGCACCCGCCCNNNNNNNNNNNNNNNNNNNNNNNNNNNNNNNNNNNNNNNNNNNNNNNNNNNNNNNNNNNNNNNNNNNNNNNNNNNNNNNNNNNNNNNNNNNNNNNNNNNNNNNNNNNNNNNNNNNNNNNNNNNNNNNNNNNNNNNNNNNNNNNNNNNNNNNNNNNNNNNNNNNNNNNNNNNNNNNNNNNNNNNNNNNNNNNNNNNNNNNNNNNNNNNNNNNNNNNNNNNNNNNNNNNNNNNNNNNNNNNNNNNNNNNNNNNNNNNNNNNNNNNNNNNNNNNNNNNNNNNNNNNNNNNNNNNNNNNNNNNNNNNNNNNNNNNNNNNNNNNNNNNNNNNNNNNNNNNNNNNNNNNNNNNNNNNNNNNNNNNNNNNNNNNNNNNNNNNNNNNNNNNNNNNNNNNNNNNNNNNNNNNNNNNNNNNNNNNNNNNNNNNNNNNNNNNNNNNNNNNNNNNNNNNNNNNNNNNNNNNNNNNNNNNNNNNNNNNNNNNNNNNNNNNNNNNNNNNNNNNNNNNNNNNNNNNNNNNNNNNNNNNNNNNNNNNNNNNNNNNNNNNNNNNNNNNNNNNNNNNNNNNNNNNNNNNNNNNNNNNNNNNNNNNNNNNNNNNNNNNNNNNNNNNNNNNNNNNNNNNNNNNCGGACAAUACCUUGCGAGCGGUGGAGAGGAGAAGGUACCGUAACCUUAACACGUGUGCACAACAGUGGCGCGCCAGGAAGGGGGCACCCGCCCCCUGUCCACACAUGCACCCUCCAGAGUGGGGGGCAUGUUGUGGCAGGCUGUGGGGGGACCUCCCUUAAUAGUCCCACAUCGAACAACUCUGGUGUGUGCAUGUGCUUAAGUAGUGCGGGCUCCCUCUUGCCCCGUGAGGCGCCUUUUGCCCAUAGGGGUUGAGAGGACAAAAUCGUGACCUGUCGAUCGCGUGCGGCCCGUACGGGCGGCGCCGUUGGAAAAAGUGGACAAUACCUUGCGAGCGGUGGAGAGGAGAAGAUACCGUAAUCUUAACACGUAUGCACAACAUGAACCAUAAAACAUCAUGUAUUAAUUAUCAUGGACAUAAGUUGUUGAUGCCACUCCUCAAAGUUUUGACACAUGAACCAGAGAAGACACGGAGUUUUUUUCCUUCUUUUCCCCAUAAUCUGAACGGUGCAGAAAUUUCUUAGUUUGUCCAAACAAAAUAUUUGAAAUCUCUUUUUAGCUUUUUUUUUUUCUUUUGUUUUUUUUGCACGUACAAAAUGUUUUUUAAGGGUUGGUCAUGCAGAGAAGAAUAAUUAAUUGAUGCUUGACGUGAAAAUUAACAGCUCUCUAGUUUGAUGGAUGACCUCCAUUCGUAUUGGAGCAAUAUCAAGUGCCCCAGCAACAAUGGAAUAGGUAACUGGAAGAGCACAUGGAAGACGUAUGGGGUGUGCUCCGGCAUGAACGAGACUGCUUACUUCGAAACCGCGCUCCAGCUCAGGACCAGGGUGGACCCACUCUACCUCCUAAACAAGAAUGGUAAUUUUUUAGUGCAAAUUUGAUCCGAGAAACAUUAAUCUAUAAGAGUCGUGUUAAGGUGACAGACGAGUUCGAUUUAAUUCAUGUUGCAUGCUGAUAUGGUGUUCUUAUGCAACAUAUUCAAAAUCUUUUUUUUUUUUCAAAAAAAUGAUUCUUUUUUGUAUCUGCGUGCAUUCUAAAAGAAUUACAUUUCCAAAUUAUAAGUCAUUUCUCUUUAAACAAACAUGAAUUCUUUUCCACUUUAGAGAGGAAAAUGCCUGCCAAUGACCUCUUUGUAUGGAAAAAGAAGGAAAAAGGAAGAGAAGAAAAAGCUAUUCACCCUCUCUAGAGUCCUUAAAUCUAGUCAAAGAAUUCAAUUAAAGCCAAAUGAUGGCUCAUCAAAACGUUCCAAAAUACAAAACUGUAUCUUUCGAGCCUAUUUGGAUAUUUUUAGAGGAUUAGGCUGCGAAUUCCCUGGUAUUGGGUCUGUUGGCUCACCUAUCUUACAUUUUUUAAGAGCCUGUCCAAACCCAAUCUAAAUAUUAAUCUUUGGGCUGAAAGAAGAAAAAAAGACUUGUGAAGAUUUUUUUUUUAAUAUUUCCAUAGUAGUUAAGCUAGGUGAUAUUUGAUUGAUACAAGACCAUGUUUAAAUGGACGACCCAAUCCAUAAGCUCUAUAAGAUUUCCGACCUGACCAUAUAGGAAUAUCCAAACAAGACUUAAAUUGGAAUUUUCAUAGGAUAGAAUGGCCAGGAUUCCUGAGCAGUUUAAGAUGUCAAAAAACAGGACCUUAUCCACUCAUCCAGUAAUCAAGAAUUCUUAGUACACAAUUUAAAUGAAUAAAAAAAAAAAAAUACUUGGGACUUAUACAGUAUAUAUUUGUUUUAAAUUACUGGAUUCAGGUAUCCUGCAGUCAUCCUGGAAGCUAUAUGACAUCAGCGAUAUCGAGAGCGCCAUCGCAGAGGGGAUCAAAGCAACUCCGGUGCUUCGCUGCAGCAAGGGACCAUGGGGCUACUUCCAGCUCUACGAGAUCUACAUUUGCGUCGACAAGGAUGGCAAGUCGAUCAUCGAAUGCCCUGUCAAGCCACGGUUCACAUGCUACCGCAAAGUUCUUUUCUAUCCAUUUGACAAUGAACAGCCCCACAACAUCUCCACUGCUAAUCCCAUUCAGAUGCCAAUCUCUGUGGAAUGAUUAGAAGAUGUGAUUUUAGAGGAGCAGCACCCUUUCGGUACUCUUUCUUUUCCUUUCCACUUUGGUUCAGAGUUUGUUUGAUCCAUGGUGUACUUCCCUUUGGAAUAAAUAAAGCCCCCAGUUUAUCUUCAGGUUAUGGCUAAUUUUCCUCGGUGGAUUCGCUUCAUCUAUCCAUGACCAAUGAUGGAACAUAGUAGAUAUAAAACGUGGUGCUUUCAACUCUAAUGCACGUAAAUAAAUAAAUGAUCGGGAUUAUACACUUACAUAUGUGUUGUCAAUGAUGCACUGUUUUGGGUUCACGAAAUGAUGCUCUUUAUAAUUAGUAAAAGGCUAGAGUACACCAGCUUCAGCUUCUUGAUUGGCCUAAUCCCAGUGUGACACACUCAUGUACCCCACCCCACCCUAUAGAUGUUGCACCCCUUACUGGACAGGUAGCAGCAUUCUUAUAAUUAAUUAGUAAAGCUCGCUGUAAUCACAAGGAAGAACGUUGGAGGAUGUCCAGGAUGAUGGAUGGUUUUUGUUCAGUUAGUAUGCAGUUUUGGUUCAUCGUGGACGACUAACUGAAGACUUCUCCACUAAUCAUUAUGCUGAAGGGCAUCCGUGGACCAAAAACAAUGAUGAAACUUUCAGUGCUCUUAUCCCUGUAGAUUAUAGGGACGGUCUCUGACGUGAAAAAAAGUGGGCAUGUUCCAGUUCUCAAAGUUCCUAGAUUUGAUAAGUGCCAGAGCUACAAUAUUUUCAAGUUUCAUGAUGAUCAAGAAGACGAAGUGAUGGCUGUUGCCGAUGAAUUGUGUUGUGUUCUUCCUUGCACUAGUGUAAGAACAGCUAAAGGCAAGAUAUACAAUGCUCGACAACACUUUCUUGGAAGAAAGCACUUAACGACAUCUUAUAUCUUGCCUUCAGCAUGGUAAGAUUUUUUCUCAUGCUGCUUUUCUAUACGUGAAUCCCAUGCAAUCUUAAAAUUACUGAUGCUCAAUGCUUCUUGUAUCACUUGUUUGGCAAAUAAAUAUGCGUUAAUGCAUUGGAGUUUUCCCUUCCUCAUCCAAAGUGGUGUGACUUUUCUCUCUCCUUUAGAGGCUUAAUGCAUCCCAAACUCAACAAUUGCACAAUUGGUUGCUUUAUUUGUUCACCGUCAUGCGUUUUACUCCCACAUCGUUGUACUGUUCUACGAGAUACAUUGUCCAGUCAUCCACCAUUUGCUUAAAAGUCCAUGAUAUUUGGCUCAGAACAAAACGAGCAAUGGAUUUGAAAAGCUUGCAUUUAUGAACAGUCAUAUCAUCUUCCGAUCAGGAUUGAGCAAUAUCACUUUCCAAGAAGCGCUUUCUGCCUCUAAGUGGCCUACAAAAUCAUUAAUCUAAACUUGCUAAAGGCAUGAUACUGGAAAAGUAUAAAACAUGGCUUCGCAUUUUGGUCAAAUCAGAGACUACAUGAAGAGAAGCAGACUUCACUUCUUCACAUGCAAUCAACUAUGACAAUGCUUGCGUCUCUGAUAAAUCUUGUGUUUCUGAUAAUACUUGCAUUUCAGGCAAUGCUUGUGAUUCCUGCAAUGCUUGCAUCUCCUUUGGUAUGUCAAUGGCAGCUUUUAAUUUUUUGGGCCUUCCUCUGGACCGUACAGGGGUGACAUCCACCGUUGCAUCCAACGAUGAAACUGGCUCCAAAUCUGAAGCACCUUCAUCAACGGUUGGCAUGUCCCUCACAUGAGUAAGAAGCUUGCUCAUAUGCCACUGUGCAUAAUCAAAACGAUCUUUUGUUAAUGAUGAUUCUUGUAUUAUGAUUGAAGCAAGCGAACGCAGAGCUUGGGACCGAUACUUAUAACCGCUACUCUUAGGAAACAAUGAGCUUUCACGACGCCAUCGAAUCAACAGAUAUUUUUCUGGAAGCAUGAAACAGUUCUUCAACGAAAGCACUCGAAGAGAGUGUCGGCACAUUAUUCCAGAAAACUCGAACUCUUUGCAGCUGCAGUGUAUCUCUUCGUUUGCUGGAAUGCAGCUCACCAGGUGUCCUCCAUCAGUCUUCAAGUGGUGGCGAACGAGAUAAGUGUCUCUUUGGGUUUCGUAAACUGCAAAUUGUGUAGAUGACACAAGCUCUCUUUGAAACAUUUCAAAUGCAUAAGGUGUCAGAACACUUGAUGCGUGUUCUUCAACGGGCAUGCAUGUUUUGAUUUGGACAUUUUGAUAGUUUUGUCGCAUUGUUGCUUCCUCCCCUGCUUGAUUUUGUAAAUCAAUUGCAACCAUUACCUUCAAAGAAACAAGGAAAAAAGAAAAUGAAAAUAUUUCGAGAAGGGGCAAAAAAACAUGAGAAAGAAGUUUGCUAAUUUCAAAAUCAGCAGGAAAAAGGAUACCUGUUCAACAAAAUCCUUAAGACGUGUUUGUGAGACCAAAAACCCUUUAAAGAAUGCCUUGAUUGACAACGAAAAACCAGUGGUCAGUAAUCCCCCAAAAAGCCAGCCUCGGAGAAAUGGUAAUGCCCAAUAUUCCCGAUGAUAUGAAAGUAUAGCUAUAUGUCUAUCUGAGCCCAGUCCAAACUCAUUAAUCAUCUGACCCCACUGGUGCACAAAAUCAUUCUCGCUCUCCAGAUUAUAUACUCCAUGAAACUCGGACACAAACCUCUCAUAUUGAGAACCAAGUAAUGUAGAAAACCAGCUUGGUAACUUAGACAUGAUAUGCCAUGUAGAGAAUGCUUGCUUCGUGUCUGGCAGCACGUUCAUUAUAGCUUCUCUAAGUCCCAUGUCUAGAUCUGUAACCAUUGUCUGCGGGACCUUCUCAUCCAUAAGAUGAACAAAUGCCUAUAAGAAAAGAGCAGGAAAAAUAUCAGUUGAAUUAAAAAACCGACAUGACAUUGGUGAAUUAAGGUUGUCAACUUCUUUCACUUCUCUACAGGGUCAAAAAAGAGGGAGAAGGAUAAAGAAUACUUGAAAUUUACAUCGAUAAAGUAUAGUAGACAAACCUGCAAUGCCCAUGCAAAUGAUGCUGGCUUUUCGUCUUGCAGUAGAACACAACCAAAAAAUAUGGUGUUUCCAUAGUUGUCAACACCAAACCACACUCCAAAUGGCCUGUCAUAUGCAUACAAACGAUAUGUUGUGUCAAAUACCACAACAUCUCCAAACACCUUAUAUGCCCGAAUAGAGUCAGGAUAUGACCAAGCAAUAUGCUCAAGCUUAUCAUUCAUGUCCAGUGUAAAUUCAUAACGAAAAUCUGGGCUUUUCUCUUUAAUAGCCUUGCAAGCUUUAACAAGUUCUGCUCCCUCAUUUUCUCGAUUGAUGUUCUUGGAGGCCUGAAGGAAAUUUCUCAGAUCCCUCUCUGUGAAUGUCAACUGACCAGGUUUCAGUCCCUUCUCCAUUUCAAGAGCCCUCAUUAUAAGAUUCACAGUGAAACCUGCCUUUGCAAAAAAUAAGAUACGCUCACGGUCAACCGAUGAAAUAUUCCGAUAAGCAGGUAGAUGUCGUACUUCAUCACUAUCCAACAAUUCAUGGUUAUGCACAUUACUGAAAUGAACAACAACCCACCGAGUUACACCCUUCGAGACAUUCUUCUUAAUAAUCAUCUGCGCCUCACAUUUGCAACGUGAUGAUUUCUUAUUCCUCUGCCGUUUGAGUUCGGCUGUCUUCCUGGGCAGAGAUACACCGGCACGAUGACACACAAGCUCCCGUUUAUAAACUCCCAAUGGAUGAGCUGGGUUCCCCUUGGAGCGCUCUCGCCGUAUUGCAAAACCAUUCCUCCGUGCAAAGUUGGUAUAAAAUUCUUGGGCCUCAUCAUCAGUUCGAAAAGAUUGCCCUACAUAUGGAGGGGUGUCAGCUGAAGCAACCUCAGAAGAAGUAUGGGCUGCUGCAUUGAUAAGGUUUGGAUCCGCAGGCACCAUAGGUUCCACUGAUGUGUCUUCUUCAUCUCCCUCAAUUCUAAUAUAACAUUGUUCAUCCCCACAUGGGCACUGCCGCCUUUGAGUGAGGCAACCAUUGUUUCUUGAUGAAGUUUUGGUCAUUCUUGAUUCUUUCUGCCCAACAAUGAGCUAACGUACUGGCAGUUGCACUAAAACCCAGGAAAAAUUAAUAAAAAAAGGAAGAAGAAUAAGAAGCAGUACAACAUAACUUGAAUGCAAUGCAGGAGGAGCUGAAUCGAGUGCAAUAGGAACAAAGUUAUAGCUUCCAAAAUCAAGACAUCAUAAACAUUCACAAGACUUUUUUUGGCAGAUGCUAAUGACAAAAUGAGAAGCGCAAACAAGUUAUACUCUUAAUAUUCAAAUUCUAAUUGCCUUUAAUCGCUGUCCAAAUUCUCGAUCUGACAUCUCUGUUUUUAUUCUCUUCUCGCUGUUACUACAGAGGGUGCAAGUUCUACGCUCACACUCUAAUGAUGACUUGUGUAAUAUUCUAACUCGAGACCCUUUAGAUGGUGAACAGCCCUGAACAAAGGCUGGUCAGCUAGCUGUAAAUAUUAUUUCUUUCAACAAUAAAUUGCCUCCCUUCCACUCAAAAAAAAAAAAAAAAAUAAUGGCUGUUAUUCAGUUUAUAUACACAAACUAUACCCAUCAAACGGGAAGGAUAUGGAACAUCACCAGCACAUCAGGAACCAUCAAUUUUGUGAAGAAUCGAACACCAGAAGCACUAAAUUCGAAUUAGAACAAUUAUCCAGAUCGCACUUUUGGCUGGCAAAAGGAACUAGCAAAACCCUAAGUCCGGUUGAAUCGACCAAAAAAUUUCUCCCUUUUUCUCUCACCUCAGAUGAAUGUCAUUCUCCAUAAUUAUCGGAGAAAACUUGUAGAAAAUCUAAAUUUUGAUAAGGUCAGUCAAUCCAUUAAAAGAAAAACAUUCCGAGAGCAACUGGAGAACGAAAUUAGAUGAAAAGGAUACAGAAAAGGAACAUCUAAAGAUCAAUCCUUCAACCAGCAUCGGGUAUGAUAAUAAUCUAAUCAAUUUCAGAGGGUCAGGAUCAGGAUUAUACCUGAGAGAGACGUCGGAAAGAGCAUAAAAGUGAGAGACGGAAGGGAUGAAAGGUUACGGUUAGGGUUAGGGUUAGAGGUGGAGAUUUAGGCUUGUGAGAGGGGAGGGACCGUAGGGGAAGAGUCUCCGGCGGCGAAUCGGGGAGACGCAAUCGCCACCACCGGCCUCUUGAUAUUCCAACCCCCUUCGAUCCAGGCAGAUCCCCUCGGCGCGCGAAACGGGGGCUACGAGUGGGAAGGAAGGGGAGUCAAGGAAAGGGGGUGGGAAUAUCUAACGCCGCGGUUUAGGGACGGCACGGUUCGAGGAAAGGACGACAUCCACAGGUGGACCCCUCCAGAGUUCAUUGAUCAGAUGGGUAGAUUUCUAACAGAAAUAAUAAUGACAACUAAUGCAGAUUAACACCAAAACGGGAUGUUAUAUUUGUUUGAAGGUGGCCCGCACGACAAACGAUCAGGCCCAGCUUGAGUCUCGACUCAUCUGCUAUGCUCUAAUUUUCAUAGAUUUGGUCAGGUCCAAUUUUAUGGUAUCCGCAUGGCCUAAUUUUGAUGUCGAAGUCUCUAAUUUGUCUAAAUUUUGGUAUGUAAAUUGAGUUAAGAAAAUAAAGAUCUAGAUUUACUGCACCAAUCAGUACCAUACCAUGCAGAAUCAAUAAAAUUUUAUAUCAUACUAACACUCGAUACAUCUUAUCAUCUCAUAUCAUUCUAUAUACCAAUACUAUAUAAUAGAAUGAUGCCACAAAACCAACGAAUCUAGGUUAAAACACCAUAUAUAUUUAGAAAUGAAUCAAAGCCCAGCCAUGUGCAUUUUCAAAAAUGUAUCUACUCAAACAACCUGCACCCUGAGGUCUGAUUCAAGCACCGAUCGACCAAGAUUGGAAAAAACAAUGGUUGAAUGGGUCUACGUUUGCCCCAAGCUUGGAUGGAGGAUCACAACAAUCAUGGUGGAAGGAUCCUUUUGCACAAAUUAGACUUAGUUGGAUCUGGCCUAUAGCCGGCCAGAAAAGGCAUGUAGAUCAAGAAUAAAUCCGCAUACUUCGGACCCAAAACAAGACAACCGUCCACUCUUAAGCCUCGUCAGAACCGAACCGGGCUUCAAGAACACACGGAUCUAGCUUGAUACUUCAAUUGCUUUCCCCUCGACAGUUCCUAGACUUUGCUCUGUAGUCAAGUUAUAAUGACCAAACAUUAAGAUUGAUAAUCUACAACAGAAAUAUCGACAUUGAUGGAAAAAUUUAAAUACCGUACCUAUGCUAAAAGAAAUUUAAAAAAGCUAAAUAAAUGGUUUUUCAGCAUUAUGACAGACGAUACAUUAGUCUACUUUGAUUUUCCAAAACUAUCAGGAUAAAUACAUGCACAGAAAAUUUGGUGUGGCACCCCUGCUCUUCGUGUCAAUGUUUCCGCAAAAGAGGGAGCGAGAGCGAGAGUCAGCGAUAAAAUACACCACUUGGAAGAGUGCCGGCAAAAGUUCCGCAUGCUUAACGCAGCAAAACUGCAGUAAUUUCAUUUUCCUGUAGGAAUAAUUCUCCAACGAGCAGCCUGAUAAUUAUAGCUUAUGCACCUCAUCCAUGAAAUACACAGGCCAAUCCCACCAGCUUUGGUGCCAGUGAUCCGAAAAAUUAUAUAUUCAAUCCAAGCAUUGCCACAACUACGUCCUAAGAAAAUGGCCUAGAGUAAUGACGAAUGCAUUAUCCCUGAGUAAGGAAAUCAGAUUUCAGAGUAUCACGUAUUUUUUCAUCUUGGAAGACCAAAUUAAAUAAUACAGAGUUUAUGCCAAAAUUUUUAAUUGAAUAGCAACACAAGUCACGUAAAAAUAGUCGUCCAUAUGAAGUGCUGAGUACAACCAGACAAAUACCAUCAACCCACUGCUUAAAGAAUAUUAUCCUUCGAGCUGUCAGACCGCUGAACCUGCGGUCAUAAAAAGCUCCAAGCUACUGUACCUCACCAUGGCCAAAUCGCUGAUGGAAUGAUGAAGGUGAAGACCCCCUUUCAUCAUUUUCCCAAUGAUUAAUAAUAAUACAAUUUUCGAACAGACUAAUGAGUGUAAUACAAAGAGCUAUUCGAGAUGUUAGUCUCAAAUCAACUACAUAACUCUACAGCAAUGUGCCGACAAAAGUCCCUGAGUGGCGCUCUUGCAAAACCAUUCCCGUUCCCCAGUGAUUCUCUUCCCUGUGCGCAGCAGGAUUCCACCGGUGCAACUCUUGCUGUGUAUCUAUCAAGCCCCUCUAAUUCCAGUACGUGUUAGCCAAAGAGAGCAUGCUAUACUAUUAAAUGGUCAGGUCCUUGAAGGCAUGCAAUUUCCCAUUCAACGAGUGAGAGUCUUCGUUUUUAGCUUCUUGAUAGGCCAGAACUCCAUUUUCUGGUGCAUUCUGUACAUUGUCAUUUACAGAAUAAGCAACAGCUGAGCUCCUGCAGCCUCCAAAAUAUGUUGAGUAUGGAAAAUAUUCUGCACAUCGUGCUUUCCAUCCUACAGCAGGAAAAAAAUAAUAAUAAUGCAAAAGAUAGAUAGAUAUUCUGUACCUUGUAAAUGUAUUCACAAUCAAACUCCUAUAAUGCUAAAUAUAUUGCAGCAUGAAUGUACAAUACUUAAUGAACUUCAUGCAUCAAGGCACUCACUGGAAGCAGCAUCUUUAUCAAUAAAUACUGUCUCAAGCAAUUUGUGGACUGCAAUACAUUCAUCAAGUAUCCAUUCCCUGACUGGUCCCAGCACCCCAUCUCUGCUAACAAGAAUUCAAGGAUCAUUUCAUUUUUGCUUCAAAAUUUGCAGAAUGUAAUGCUGAUUGUUGAAUGUAUGAUUAUUGACAAUUUGGGAGAACUUUACACUGGUGCCAGUUUGUUUGUAGAAUCUUCAAUUAGCUUAAUUGCCUCAAGCUUCUUUUCCGGCUCCAGAACAAGAAGCAUUUCUGCAGCUGCAGCUCUAUGCAUCAAAGAAUCUGUGUCCAUAUAAAUUGGAUCAAUACCACCAUGGGAUUAUAAUCUAAGAAACCACAUACAGUGCAAGAACAAAACCUUUGUGCUUCUCAAGGAAAGACCGGUUAACUUCAAUAAGUGACUUCCCAUGCAACUGACUGCAAAAGAAAAGAACUAGAACACUCACUAAAACUCCAAACAAGAAUGCAAAUUUGCAACAACAAAGGGGCAUGCAGUGGUAACCUUAUGUCCGGUUGUUCUGAUUCUAAGACACUCCAAAUUAGUUUCUCUGUGUCAGUUCUUGGGGAAGGAAAACUGCUGACUUUAUGAAAGAAUCUUAUCUGUGAAAAAUCAUUUCCAGAUAUGUCAUGGAAAUAAUAAGAGAACUUUAAAAGCUUUAGGCAUACUAAAACUUAUGCUAGAACUUUUGGGGUCACAUACCAAACACCGGUGGCAAUCAGGAUCAUUCUCAUCCAACUUAAGCAGCUUCUUGACAGCCUGAAAAUAUACAAAAAUUAAGACAAAAAAUUUAGUUAUAUGUUAGCACAAAGUAAGGCAUCGGUUGAUAGAAGAUACGACAAGUACACGCAAGUCUUAGCAUGUUUGAUACAACAGGAGACAUGAUUGAUUGAACUCAAGUUCAAUAAACCAAUGAACCUGAUUCAGGGUUUGCCUCUGUUUUUCCUCAUUUCUUGGUCAGAAUUUGCAAACAUCAAAGAUUACAGCCGAGCCGAGAUAUCUCAGCUGUUGACAUCUGAAUUUUGCCCUUUCCAUCAAAUUGACUCAGUAGAUAGAUAACUCAGGUACCAUUAAUCAAUUGUACAACAGAUGUGGCAUACUUAUGUUCUUCUCUUAGUUCAUUUCAACAGGCAUUAAGGAAAAAUCUGAAACAAUCUAAAUACAACUAAAUGCAUUUCCAAGCAUCUGGAAAAUGCAUAAAUAUCAAGGUCUAAAGAGAUUUGGAAUGAGAAUUCAUGCAUACAUAAAUAUCUUGAAGAACAUGUAUCAAGGAAUGAGAGUACAACAUUUGCUGCUGAAUAUAGAGUUACCUGAAAAGCAAGUAAAAUCCUUUGCUUUCUCAUGUUUAGCUCGAAAGAAAGAAUAUGUGUUUCCAAUGAGCUUGCAGAGUUACUCUGGAGCAACUUCAAAUACUUUGUAGCUUCCAAUAAUGGAUCCUCAACCUGCCUUGCAAAAUUAUGUAUCAAGACACUUAUUCAGAUGAUAACUGUGUGGUGCCAACCACUUGAAAUUUUCUUAACAUUAUAAUUUGAAUACAAACCGCCUCACCUACUGUAAAAGAAAAAAAAAAUUAUAUACAAAAUUCAGAAUUAACCACUCGCUGGCUACUGGUCCAGUGGUGUAAGACAUUCAAUGCGGCAGAGAUGGUUUAUAUUUUCAAAUCCACACCAAAGAGGAAGGAGCAGGCUUUUCAUCAUGAAUAAUAAACCAUAGAACACAGAUUAACCAAAAAUCCAAAUUAAACUGUUACCUGCAAUAACUUUUCCCCAUGAGGAUCUAAAUCAACAGGUCUGGCAUGUUGUCGCUUUCCAGACUUUGAUGAGCCAGAAGUCGUUUCCUCCUCAGUUUUUUCUUCAGCCUCCUGAAAGAUAUCAAGGAUAUUAUAAUGGAAAACAUCUAAAUCUUGAGAUUUCUAAGAAAUUUCUGAGACAAAAAGAGUGGGAACAUUACUUUCUUUGCACGAGCUUCAGCUUUUUUUUGUUUUUGUCUCAGUUUCUUCCUUUGUGAAGGAGGCAACUUUGACAUUUCAUCACCCUCUUCUGUUGUUGCUUUUAUUGGAGAAUCAUGCAACUUCAUGUAGCAUCUACACUUGCAUAAGUAAUAUAUAAUUAAUCACAUUUUCUAAAAGUUGAAUAAAAAGAACAAAUCUACACACACACACACACACACACACAAAAAAGGAAAAAACAACAACAACAACAACAUUACAACAUAAGCAAGGAGCAGUAGCUUCCAGUAUCAUAUAGCAUAAUUAAUGACUCCAAUGAGCAACAGCAUGUCUCCUACAUUCAGCAUUUGCUUCCAUGGAGAACAAACUAGGAAUAUUUUCAAGUAACCUCCUAAAUAUAUUGAACAGAAAAAUCAUACCCCCUAUUCAUUUUUAAUCCAGAUUUUAGCACAUCAUACAUUUUAGAAAACAAACUACGUACCAAGAACCAAAACACCUUAUAGAAGGAAAAUAUAAGAAAUAAGACUAGAUGCUUGCAAAAUGGAAAGAAAAUAAGAAUGUGAAACCCGACCAAAACUUCAUUAAAGACAUUAGCCGUAGCAAGACAACAUGUGGCUAAAACAUACAAGGACACACACAAAGCCACCCGCCCCCCCCCACCAACAAAAAAAAAAGGCAGUUGACAUGAAGAGAGAAAAAUAACAUACAAGUAAAUUUAAUUUCAAGCAAGCAGAACUGAUAACCAGCAACUGUUAGCUCAGCUGGUUGGCACCUUCCUCAGCAAGUGAGAGGUCUCAGGUUCAAACCGGAGCAGUGAUGAAUAACCACCAUAUUCUUAAAAAGAAAAAAGGAAGCAUAUAGAACUAAUUAAGAUACCAGCACAUAGCAUAACUAAAUCAGAUUGCAGUUAUAGAUUAAUGAGAUGGCAAUGAGACAGAUUACCAAAAAUUUCAUCGCUAACAAUCAAGAUUACAGCAAACAGGAAAGUUAAGGCAUUAGAACGUGCGUCUUAGCAGUAUCAAGAGUUUGGUUAAAUAAAUAACUAAAUUAUACUAAAUGGCAGCUUCACCUGAUAGCUCCUGCUGCGGCUUUACGAAAGUAUUCAUGUGAAUGCAACUUAUCUUGAAACUUCAGCAUUGACACAUAGGCACGCAGGGUCAUUUUACGUAGACAGUAAGAAUGGAAAUCAAAUUGAUCCUCAGUCAUGUCUGCAUAGUGCUUCUCAACAGCCAAGAACAUUUUCAGAGCGCGCCCAAGAUCACCUUGACGGAAGUAACUCUCACCAGAAGCAAGUUCAUACCUUCCCGCAAUACAUGAAUCACAUAAGAAUGACAUAAAGAAAACUAAAACUUGGCAAAUAAAGCAACAACAACGCACCACAUGCAUUGCAUGUCAUGCAGGUUAUUGUGCUGAUCUCCAUCCUUUGUAAAUAACACAGCUGUCUUCUCUGCUAACCCAACCUUAAUCAACAAAAGACUUACAAGAAAAUUUAGUUUCACAUAAGAAAGAAAAGAACCGUACAACAUAGUAGGCAGGAGAUCUUUGGUUUCGGAUCUUUCAACAUACCUGAUCAGCUUGAAGCAUGCGCAUGACACAUUCACUGUUUAAGUAACGGUCAGCAAGAUCCAUGGACCUAGCUUCAUCUGCCAAAGCAGCAGCAGCAGCUAAAUCACCUGCAUGUUCUAAUAUUCUUCCCUGUGAUCAAAAGGAUAGUAUGUUAAUGUAGAAGAUGAUCAAUUUGCUAUUUCAAAGCAAAAAGCAUAACAUAAUUUUACUUUUUAUAUAAGCACAUGACAGAGGACGAUACAUAAUACUUGUUAUAUAAGCACAUGACAAAGGACGUUACCAUCUAGUAGUAUAUCAUGAGUGCUAAACUUCCAAACCAUGAUCCUGAUUUCUCAAGAUUGUUGAAAUUAAACACUCCAUGAUCAAUAAGAAUCAAAACAUAGAAAGGCUUAUAAAGUAGCUCAGAUGAAUGCAGAUGAGCUGAAGCUGCUGAACUAUGAUGUCAAAGAGAACGUAUAAGAUGCCAAUUGAAUUUUAACUUUAAAAAAAAAAAAGAAAAAAAAGAGAGAGAGAGAGAUCAAUUAGAACUUAAGAUUUAGUUCUGCAGCAAGAACUCCCUGUUUUUAUCAGACUAGUAGCUUGGGACAUGUUUUACAUGCAGGUCGAGGAGCAUGUGAAAAUAUAAAUCCAAUCAAAGUUUAAAUAACUAAUCAACAUUCUACAAUUUUGUAAUAUUAUUUUGUUAUUGUAUAUGACUGAUUUUGGGGGGGGAAAUGCUAUUGCAAUGGUCAUCAUUAGCUAUCACAUAAUGUAAUGAUCAUGGUGAUGAAAUACCAAUUAAACUAAAAUUGUUUCUUAGAUUCUCAAUAUGCAUAUAACAUUGCAGGAUAUCUCCAAACUAUAAGAAUCUUUAUACCAUGAAAGUUAUAACUACCUACAAGCAAGAGGCACCAACCAUAUCAUUAAUUGCUCCAUGCUAGCCCCACCAUCAGUUAUUUAUAUCCAACACAACAGAAGGAUGUGCAGCCAAUAUAUUCAUGUACAUCUAAAACACUUUUUAAAAUUAACCACACAAUUAUGACAUAAAAAUAAACUCAUGAACAGUGUUAUAAAGUGAUAACCUGGUUUGCAAGGAUAAAACAAAAAACUUUCUUGUUCUAAUUAAAAAUGUUUUGAGCAUGCACAAGUUUAAAGUAAAAACCAUUGCAACAUUUUCUGCCGCCUCCUGUUCAUUUACAAAUCAGACAUUUAAAAAAUGCUAAUUAUGUGGCUAUCAUCAACACUAUGAGUUAUUAGGCAUAGUAAGGAAUCAUUAUCUUUUUUUUAAUUUUGUAGAAUUACUAAUAAUAGCCAUUAAAGCUGUCAAAUAUUUUGUUUUAAAAUAAACUGCACAUUUUUGUUAAUGUAAAAAAGAAUUAACAAUGAUUGUUACGGUAAUUGCUUUUGAGGAUUUAUACUUCGCGUUUAUUAGUAUUAUUGAAACCUUAUAUCACACUGGCAGAGGCAGUAAUGCUCUUGUGCAAUGAUUGUGACAAGAGAAAGAGGUUUUCAUAAAUUGAUUAUCUUGGUCAUUUGAGAUACAAGCAAGAUCCAUGCAGUAGCAUGAAGAGGUGUGCACUCGAUUACACAGUGCCCUCCAAACUGCUGGGACAUCUCAUUAGGACUCCACAGGCUACAGUUCGCAGCGACACUUGUGCAAGACAGUCUUCCUAGUCAUAUAUGUGCAAGCCGCAAUGAUGGGUCAACAGUGAUAGGGCCUUUCAGCAAGGUUCUCAUGAUGGCAUUAUUCCAGUUCAAGAACGGUUCUGGUAGAGGUAAAAAUUUACAAAUCUGCCGAACGUCCACCAAUUCAUCACAAAUUUAGAGAGAUUUUGGAUAACAAAACAAAAAGGAAUAAAAUAGCUUGCAAGUUUCUUAAUAGAGGUAAAAAAAAAAGGAAAUCUGCAAAACUUCGGCAAAAUUCAUCACAAAUGCUUAUGGAAUCUAACACUAGUACUCAUUUUUAAAUAAUGCGGAGUGAAUACAAGGUUUUUUGCCAGUAUAACAACACCACCAACUGCCUAAAGGAGAAGGUAAAAGCAUGGACAAAGAAAUUGCCACCUAUCAAGUUCUGCAGAACAUGUAGAAGAUAUGCAAGACUUCCAAGGAGUGAUUAUUAUUCAAACAGGAACAUUUGAAUUUCUUAUCAGUGCAGAUAGAUAGAGUCAUUGUUUUAAUAUGAUAUACGCAUUGUGCAGGAUUUAGAACAGAAAUAUAACCAAUCACUGGAAUAGAUUUAACUAAAUAAAGAUACUUGCUCGUUGUAAUAAAUACACUGUUCAUUCAGAAGAUACUGCAAAAUAAUAGACGGUCAAGAAUGACAGGUAAGCUUGACAAAGAUUGAUGACUCAAAAAUAGAGAGAACAGACCUUAACAGAAUAUAAAUCAAUCACAGUUGGAGUGUGUUCGAUAGCCUCGUCAAUUUUAGCUAGUGCAAUAUCCUGUUGGCCCCGCCUGUCAUAAUGCUGCACCAACACAAUGGCCCAUAGCAUAAAAGCACGUACGACAUAGUUUGUAGUAAAAUUAUAGUUAAAAGACAGUAACAAAAGCCAAACCUGAGAAACCAAAAACAAAGUCCACAUUAGUGUUGAAGGAGGCUCCUUUUGUGUCCUAACAUUAGAAUAAGAAUUAGAUUUUUUUUUCUCUAGAAAGUCUGGUCUUAAUUAGAAUAUUUUUGCCAAUUUAAAUUUUAAGCAUCUUGCAGUAUAAACAUAUGCAACAUAAAAGAAUUGGCAGAGACUAAGCAGUGAUUUCUAAGACAAUAGUAAAUGGACCAUAGUUAUCAAGAAACUUCUUGGGCUCGAUGGUCAAUUAGAAUCCAAUUUAAGAACAGAACACAGAAUGCUGAUUUAGUAUCUACACUACUGGUUGGCAUAAAUGUCAUCACAACAGAACCAUUCAAAUGACUCUUAUCAACCACACCUCAACAGGUUUUGUUAACAACAAAUAAUCCAUCAGGAAAUUUUUUAAUUUUUUUUCUCACCAUUUUGGCAAAUAUCAUGGUCCCCAUCCUCUCUUUUUCUGAAGCCUUCCAACCAAGUACGACUUACCAUAUGUAAAUUGGUCGGCUCUACCAUAUCAUUUGUUGCACAUAACCAAAAAUUUUGCUAGUCCUAAAUUAUGCUGCUACUGGCACAUCUUAACAUGCAUUUCCUAGAUUUGUUACAUAACAAAUGAUCUAUGGACAUCUAUAAUCUAUAAUUAUUCCGGGCAAAUUUUUAAAGCAAUAUUGCUGAGGUUGCAAUAUGUGAUAUAAAUGGAAUCUGAAAGGAUGUUGAACUACUUGUGAGCUGCAUCCCAACGCAUCUGACUGCAUUAACAGCCUCAUCAAUUAUAAAAUUCAACCAAAUUUUGCGGUUUCUUCCUCUCAAAUUUUAAGGCAUAUCUUUUCAUUGGAAAAGAUGACAUUCAAAUACAUGCAACAAACUCAUACUGACUCUCUUGGCAUGUUAGAAAGACAGAUCUCUUAGACCUAUCAUACAACAGUAUAGGUAACUACUUAUGAGUAAAAGAUUUCAACAGUCAACAGCUCAUUCAAUCUCAACAUUUGUUACUAUUUUGAUCGAAUAAGAUGAUACCUUCAAGGGUCCAAACUAAAUCAAAUCAACAUGAUAUAAUUCCACCAAACAAUUCACAGAUCAGAAGUUAAUUUAAAUGUAAGUUCACGAUGAUUUCAAUAACACCUUGACAUAACAGCAGUCCCAAGAUUACCUUCCAGGAAAGCAUCCUGUCUUUUUAAUUGAAUCUUCCAGCUGAAGAAAUAACUGUUCAAGAAUGCAUGCCUGACAAGGAGACGAAGAACUUCAUCAUACCCUAAGCUUUCCUUUGUACAAUCUACAAUUCUGGAAAAAAAAUGUUUUCAAUACUUUAUGCUGCAUGACAAACAACUCAGCAAACCUUUCCAGGGUGGUCAUAUAGUGGGCUAAGAUCAGAGAAUAAUGAAGGAACACCCUGAAUGAGUACAGAAGAAAAUGCCUGUGUCAGCUAUAAUCGUUUACAAUAUGCACAAUAGAAAGAUAGUGAACUGAUGAGAAAUACACAAAUAAAAAAGAAACAUAAUCCAGUACAAAUUAGUGCAUGCAAUUAAAAUAAAUUUAUGAGAGCAAAAUGCCUACUACCUUAGUUAGUAGAGGCCUUAUAUAGAAGUCUGCUGCCUCCCGAAAUUCGUCACCUUCUAAAAAAUCCAGUGGUAUUCGCUGAGCCACAAAAAAAACAAAAGAGGACUCACUACAUAUUGUGGUAAUCAUGAGUAGAAUAUUGCCCAGAUUGAAAGACAGGAAUGAUAUGGAAAACUGCAGUACAGAUUAAAGGAACAGGCAACUGUUACUCGAGAUGAGGGGCUCACCUGGCUGGUUUAAGAAACUGCAGAAAAUGACAGAAUAUGAAAACAAGACCUCGUUAUCCUAAUGCUAAGCAUUAAUUACUUUGCUUGUAAUACUCAUGCAUACAUUGCGCUUACAAAACUCACAAUUAUUGGCCUAUAAUUUAAAUUCUAGAAUAUCACUAAGACACUAACAGUGGUAACAUGCACAAAGUAUCAAAUUACCACAACCACAUUCCUACAUGUUCUAACACAUCCCCAAAUGUGAGGGGCAUUUGUCAGAUUGAAUUCAAUUUUUCUAUGUACAAUUUAUCAUUUUUCUAUACUAUUAGUAAGUUAGAAACAAUUACCUAAAGAUAUCACAGAUCAAAGUUAACAUAGCCAUUCUUUGAAUCAAGAUUUUUAAUCUAGUAGUAUUCUAUUACAUACUUCAACAAGGAAUACCUUGAGCUUUUCCUUUUGAUUAGAAUAUCCUGUGUGACUCUCACUCACUUCAAAUGAAAUAAGUUGACAACUAAAGAAUGUGCUUUAAAUAGGUUGUUGCUUUGAUUGAAUAUGUGAUCCAAAAAUUUUGAUCUGAAAUCAUAGUUUACAAUCAGCAACCAUGAUACGUAGUCAGAAUACAAUAAAUAGGGUAGAACUCUCCAGUAUAAACAAAAGAGAUCUUCUGAAGUAAUACCGGUAUGAUUAAAAAUACCAUAAACAGUACACAAAAUAGGACCAGGAUCCGGGACUGAAGAUAAUGAAUAACUAGUUUACCUUAACCGCAGAUGACCAACUGUAUUGCUCCUUAAGUGAGUUAUACAACGCACCUAACCGUUCAACUUCAUCAGAUGUAUAUUGACCUUUUUCAGAAUAUAAACCAAGGCACUUUUGCAGGCCCAUAAAAUACCUGAAUAAAUAUAAGUAACAACAAACAGUAAAUUAUGAGCUAUCACUUUCAUACUACUGCUUCCCAAGAGCAUGCUUGAUUAUUUUUGUAGCUUUAAACCUAGCAACUUCAGUCCUUUGACAGUUCCACUUCAUAGAGCAAUAUUGUGCAUAUUUAUAUAACAAUUAAAGUAGAACUACUGUAACAGUAACAACUGAAAAAAGAAUUUCAAGCUUGAGCACCAACUGCUGACAAGAGCUUUACAAGACCAUGUUACAAGUUUCCCUUCUCUACAAGUGAAGAUGAAAAAACCAUCCAUGGAAUGAGAUGACUGCUUCAUAGAAAUAUAUAUCAUGUCAUAGAAAGCCAACUAUUGACCGCAGAUGACUGAUUGGACCAAGGUUCGCCAUACCACUCUAGUACAAUGUCAGUACACUUGGUAUGGGAGUUGGUUUGGCACUCGGUAGUCGGUGCGCCCCCUAUCAGCAUAGUACUAGAAUAGUAUGGUGUGCCAAGUAUAGGACAAUAUGCACCAAUAUGGAGAACCAUGGACUAGACUCACGCACACAAAAUGUUUCUCAAAAAGCAUUGUUUAUGCACUUGGUUCUAAAGUACCUUAAAGCAAGGAUUUAGAUAAAACGGGAUGUCCCACAGGACACCGAAAUAGGAUACCAUCCCAUGUGUUGGGAUGGGUCUAUUCCACUAACAUCCUGAUCGGAAUGUCUGGGAACAUUCCCUAUCCCAAGUGUCAGGACGAGGCGAGAUUGUGGCACGUCCCGUUCCAUGGAGAAAACGGGAACAGACCUAUCCCAUAAGAUUUAAAACCUUGCCUUUAAGGUAAUUCAACUAUUCCACUAGUACUCGCACUGAGAGACACUAUAACUGGUUCAUGCUGGUUUUCAAACAGAAUACUGUCCUUCCAACCCUAUUGUCUUAUUGGAGCCAAUAUGCUGGGUGUGUUAUCCAUCUUUUCUUAAAGAAAAUCUAAUGUGCCCAAUAUGCAAAUUUCUCAAUUACCAGUUAGUUUUAUCCUUACACUCACAAGUUUAACCAAUAAAGGCAAAAAAAAACUGCACAAGUACCGAAGGUGCACAGGAUCUACAUUAUCUAAUUGCCAUGACAGAUAUAUGAUUUAUGUUCACACAACUGGUUACAUGAUUUGAUUUGGUCAAUCCAUCUGAUGAUGAUUUUAGGUAAAUACUUGAAGAGCAUGUCAGGGGCAAAAAAUAUAACAUUCCAGACUUUUAGUAGAUCCAAUUAAUAGUCAAGGCAAGUCAGUCAUACAUGAUACCCCAACUAAAAUCAUUAAAAGGCAUAAGAAAGAGAAAUUAGAGGUAUUAUUGACAAUUUAGUCUCUGAUUGGCAAAGAAGCAGCAUGCAAUGGUGAAAACUCUUGCAAAUAAACAUAAGGAUUUCACCUUCUUCUAUAUGAUGAUUGGUCACAACAUUAAAAAAAAAAACUAAGAAUACCGUCAGCAGGAUCAAUUAGUGCCAAAAAUAGCUAAAUUGAUAAAGGCACUUAGCAACAGUUCAAAAUUGAUUAAAUUUCAUAAAAUAAAAAAUAAAAAAAAGCAAAAGUAGAUUUUAUUGCAUGAUAAGUAAAAGUAAGAACAUUCUUAUAAUACACAACAAUUCCAUGAAAAAGGAUCGAAAAACAACAUUUCAUCCAUUCAGGUUGAGUUAAUUUUAAUUAGUUGAAUCAACAAUUAAAAGUUCACAUCAACUUGAAGCAAAAAAUAACCAAACAGCUUACCUAUAAUUGUCAGAAUUCAUAAAGAGCAGAGACCUAUAUAUUUUUUCUCCUUCCUCUAGGCGACCAAGAUUUGCUAGCAUCGAAGCCAUUUGUUCCUUGAAUGCUAAUUUAUCAACCUGAUGGAUUGUGAGAAAAAAGUAUGAACAAAAAAGCAGAUAACAAAAAGAUGCUGUGGCAACUGCUAUUUCCUAUAAGUGAAAUGACUAAUAUGCAACAAUGUUGUCUUUUCUGUUAAACAUAUUCACUCGACCUAGCAUUACACAUUCAAUAACUUAAGCAGCAUCAUGAGCACACUUACAAUUUUAGGCUCUUUCUUGUGCAUCUCCUCAAGCGCUUUGUCAAGCCGCCCACAUUCCUCUAACAAAGAUAUCUGCACAAAAUUACUUUAGGUACAAGCAAAAAAUCCACAGGAUAACUGUGAUGAAGAAAUAAAAACCAAUGUAAGACUAAACAACCCCCCAUCCCCCCCCCCCCGCCCCCUCAACCAAAAAAAGAAAAAGAGGGAAAAAAAAAGGGAGAUCCCAGAUACAAAUAGUAUUGACAAUGCAGGAAACAAUCUACUAAAAGAUUUGUUGCUCAUUAAAGAUUAAUUCCAUUUAACAGAAAGCUUUCUGAAAAGCUUCUCAUCUUGUAAAUGGGCAUGUGUGUUAAGUUUUGCAUCUCAGGUUAUCCAAGAUCACUGCAAGUUGUCAUGGAAGGAUGUUCUGCAGCAUCUUCAACUUUUAACUUCAUAAUUAAGUAUGUUAGUUUAAGUGUUUAAUUAACAUAGAUGGUAUGCAUCAAAAAUUGACUCUGAUUCUUCUAAGUUGACAUGAACAUGUUAGCAUUCUAACACAUUGAAUGAGCUGGUUAACAAAACCAAAAUUCUCUCAUACUAUUAAAUAAUUGCAUAUCAAUUUCCCACUCUCACACGUCUGCCUUCCUAAAUCCUUCUUAAAAAUCCCUACUCUAACAGACUGAACAAUGUCCAGCCCACCUCACCAAAGGUUGGAGUUUUUAUUAAGUUCCUCAAGGUGAUCCUCAUAAACCAAAUGACAACGUCCUUUUAUUUUUCAGGAAUUUCACCAUUAAUUGCCAAAGCUAUGUGAUUCUGAAUGUGCGAAAUAUGACCUACCCAUAGCAUGGAGUUCUUCUAAUCUUCAAAGUUAAUUUCAGAUUCAUCACACCUUUUCACAAGCCUAACCCACCAGAUAAACAACCACAAGCUACAAUCUACAUAAUAAAUUUCCUUUUUGUUUUUCCAAGAUGAACCUUCCAUUAGCAAUGUUUCCAACUUUAGUAUUCACCAUUAUUCCCUGCAAGAUACCAUGGUUCAUGCUACUUGAUCCAGAGAGAGAUAAAAUUGGUUUGAUAGAUGGUUUUACUAUUGUAUCUAUUUGAAAUCAAAUUUUGAUGUGCAAUAAUGAAAAUUUUAAUUCAAUUUGCAAUAAACCAAAAAAAAAACAAAACAAAUUCGCCCCAAAAACCAGAACAAUGUAGAUACACCCUCUUUUUCAUGGCAUCAUGCACGUGCAAUGUGCUAAAAAGAAUGUUACCCAGUUAUAGUCCAAGCAAUCUGGGGUCCUUGAAGGAGUGAAUUGGGGACACUUCUAACCAAGGUCCGUAAUCCCCGUAUGGGUCAGCAUGGUAUAGUACAGAUCAGUACAAUACCAUACACACUCGUACCAAAAUUGGUCUCCUGACAUUUUUCUUACUUUUUAUCUCAAUAGAGGUUGGUGCGCACUUUGGUACGACUCAAUAUGUUCGAUACGAGUAUGCCUAGAUAUGGAUCAAUACAAGUCGAUACGGGGCCUAUACCAAUCCAAAAAUAAUUUUUAAAAAAAUUCCAACCCGGUACAGUCUGGUAUGCCCCGUACUAGGCAGUUCAAGGUGGCAUAACAAUCCAUGGUCCUAACCUUUGGCUUUUCUUGGGCACAAAAUGCAACCCUAGAACUCAAGCCCAUGCCAUUGUGCUUGUCAGUCCAAGCGUUUUACAAUCAAGGUUUAAAUCUUGUGGUACGGGGCUAUCUUAAUUUUUCUAUGGAAUGAGAUGUACUGCCGUCCUAACACUUAAGGUAGGAAAGUCCUAAGGCAUGCCGAUCAGGGUGCUAUAACAAUGGCAGGACUGUCAUGUCCCAACACUAGGGAGGGUACCAUAUUCCAGUGUCCCGCGGGACAUCCCAUCAAAACUUGAGUCCUUGUUUAUAAUUGCCCCAAGCAAUGACCCUCUACUUGUGCACUGUGCUAAUAGCUAAAAUCUUGCUUGUACCAAAAUGCUAGUGAGCCUACAAUAAUGUGAGAAUUAUUAUCUAUGCUGUUACUUUCUUUUGUUU
RNAcentral lists this long non-coding RNA (23803 nucleotides) under Elaeis guineensis (African oil palm). Its description in RNAcentral is "long non-coding RNA (EGUI_LNC000108)". Lineage: Eukaryota; Viridiplantae; Streptophyta; Magnoliopsida; Arecales; Arecaceae. The record is from RNAcentral.